CAAUAGCGUAUAUUAAAGUUGUUGCGGUUAAAAAGCUCGUAGUUGGAUUUCUGCUGAGAACGACCGGUCCGCCCUCUGGGUGUGUAUCUGGCUCUUUCUUGGCAUCUUCUUGGUGAACGUUGCUGCACUUGACUGUGUGGAGCGCUACCCAGGACUUUUACUUUGAGGAAAUUAGAGUGUUUCAAGCAGGCAUACGCCUUGAAUACAUUAGCAUGGAAUAAUAAGAUAGGACCUCGGUUCUAUUUUGUUGGUUUCUAGAGCUGAGGUAAUGAUUAAUAGGGAUAGUUGGGGGCAUUCGUAUCUAACUGUCAGAGGUGAAAUUCUUGGAUUUACGGAAGACGAACUACUGCGAAAGCAUUUACCAAGGAUGUUUUCAUUA
Molecule: ribosomal RNA, 379 nt
Filed under: uncultured eukaryote
Lineage: Eukaryota
Description: partial 18S ribosomal RNA
Rfam family: Eukaryotic small subunit ribosomal RNA
Source: RNAcentral